Mus musculus (house mouse) is the source of this 1042-nucleotide long non-coding RNA. RefSeq annotates it as RIG-I dependent antiviral response regulator RNA. The record is from RefSeq and is a predicted model, not a curated record. The transcript has 3 exons. NCBI's taxonomy places the organism in Eukaryota, Metazoa, Chordata, Mammalia, Rodentia, Muridae.
GACCGUAAAAUGGGCAAGUUCAGUCAGUUCUGUUUCUAACAUGGCCUUUCGGUUUCUUCAGCGUCACCAUCUUCUUUGACAACGAGAGAAAAAGUCCGCUGCUGCGCCUUUGCCCUUGCUUGGCUCCCUGCCCCUUGUUCUCCACGUCUCAGCCAUGAUGGCCUCUGAGGGCACACGCACGUCUGUUUGUGGUGAAUCUUCAUUGUGUAGCACGGUGCCCAUGCAUUCCAUUGGAAAGGAAAUUCCUUGAAGCAGGGACUUUGUUUGUGGAUGUGGACUGGCCACACCUGGAAUCGAGGAUGGGCUGUAGCUGGUGCCAACUGAGCAUGUGCAGAAAGCCCGAGUUCAUGAAAGAAUACUCUGACUAUGAAUAAUAGUUUCAAUAAGAAAGACAGGAUGUGUUCUGAGAGGAAGACCGGGAGUUGUGACAGGCAGAAGAAAAAUGAAGCCAAACAACAUGGAGGUGUGUCAUCACCGCUGGAUUUUGUCCUGAUCUAUGUCCAGUCAUCUCUGUCGGGCGCCCAUUCAAGACGCAGCAUAUCUACUCUGAGUUUGAAGUCAUGGGGAUGAAUUCUACUUGAGCACGCCACACAGAAAAUACAAUGCUGGAGGUGAGCUUGCUGAGCAGAAGUGAGAACCUGAGUUCAAAUACCCAGAAUCCACCUGGGUACCGUUCUGGUGUCAUGAUAGCAUAUGUCCAUGAUCUCAUUUCUCCUAUGUGAGAUGAGAUGCAAAGGCAGGAGAGUUCCUGGAAGCUACUCUCUCUUUUUUGUCCUCUUGCUCUUCUCCCUCCUGUCCCUGCAGUCUCUCCCUCCCAGAUCUUAGGUUUAUCACACAUUGGUAAACACUAUGCUCUGACACUGAGAAAUGCCUACAGCCUCACACACUGCUUCUUCCAUAAUAAAAACUCAUUACAAGAAGAUGAACUGGAAACAGCCAUAAUAUGUGCCAAGUUACUUAUUCUUUAUUUACAUUUUAUUUAAAUUUUUUGUCCUUGUAGAAUAUAUUUUUAUAAUUUAGUGACCUAAUUUUCUCUUACAAA